UACGGAGGGGACUAGCGUUGUUCGGAAUUACUGGGCGUAAAGCGGACGUAGGCGGAUUUGUAAGUCAGGGGUGAAAUCCCGGGGCUCAACCUCGGAACUGCCUUUGAUACUGCAAAUCUCGAGUCCGGAAGAGGUGAGUGGAAUUCCUAGUGUAGAGGUGAAAUUCGUAGAUAUUCGCAAGAACACCAGUGGCGAAGGCGGCUCACUGGCCCGAUACUGACGCUGAGGCACGAAAGCGUGGGGAGCAAACAGG
RNAcentral lists this ribosomal RNA (253 nucleotides) under uncultured bacterium. Its description in RNAcentral is "partial 16S ribosomal RNA". It matches the Rfam family "Bacterial small subunit ribosomal RNA", at positions 524 to 776 of the family's 1533-position model. The record is from RNAcentral.